RNAcentral lists this signal recognition particle RNA (97 nucleotides) under Gammaproteobacteria bacterium. Its description in RNAcentral is "signal recognition particle sRNA small type". It matches the Rfam family "Bacterial small signal recognition particle RNA". Rfam says of the family: The signal recognition particle (SRP) is a universally conserved ribonucleoprotein involved in the co-translational targeting of proteins to membranes. Archaeal SRP consists of a 7S RNA and homologues of the eukaryotic SRP19 and SRP54 proteins. Lineage: Bacteria; Pseudomonadati; Pseudomonadota; Gammaproteobacteria. The record is from RNAcentral.
CCAUUGGUGUCUCGCGACGAUACCUUGUGAACCUGGUCAGGCCCGGAAGGGAGCAGCCACAGCAAGCGACUCGUGUGCCGAGAAGUGCUGAUGGGGU